AUAAAGUUUUUUUUUUCUGCUCAGAUUGAACGCUGGCGGCAGGCCUAACACAUGCAAGUCGAGCGGUAGCACAGAGAGCUUGCUCUCGGGUGACGAGCGGCGGACGGGUGAGUAAUGUCUGGGAAACUGCCUGAUGGAGGGGGAUAACUACUGGAAACGGUAGCUAAUACCGCAUAACGUCGCAAGACCAAAGUGGGGGACCUUCGGGCCUCAUGCCAUCAGAUGUGCCCAGAUGGGAUUAGCUAGUAGGUGGGGUAACGGCUCACCUAGGCGACGAUCCCUAGCUGGUCUGAGAGGAUGACCAGCCACACUGGAACUGAGACACGGUCCAGACUCCUACGGGAGGCAGCAGUGGGGAAUAUUGCACAAUGGGCGCAAGCCUGAUGCAGCCAUGCCGCGUGUGUGAAGAAGGCCUUCGGGUUGUAAAGCACUUUCAGCGGGGAGGAAGGCGAUAAGGUUAAUAACCUUGUCGAUUGACGUUACCCGCAGAAGAAGCACCGGCUAACUCCGUGCCAGCAGCCGCGGUAAUACGGAGGGUGCAAGCGUUAAUCGGAAUUACUGGGCGUAAAGCGCACGCAGGCGGUCUGUCAAGUCGGAUGUGAAAUCCCCGGGCUCAACCUGGGAACUGCAUUCGAAACUGGCAGGCUAGAGUCUUGUAGAGGGGGGUAGAAUUCCAGGUGUAGCGGUGAAAUGCGUAGAGAUCUGGAGGAAUACCGGUGGCGAAGGCGGCCCCCUGGACAAAGACUGACGCUCAGGUGCGAAAGCGUGGGGAGCAAACAGGAUUAGAUACCCUGGUAGUCCACGCCGUAAACGAUGUCGAUUUGGAGGUUGUGCCCUUGAGGCGUGGCUUCCGGAGCUAACGCGUUAAAUCGACCCGCCCCCG
This 883-nucleotide ribosomal RNA is filed under the name Salmonella enterica subsp. enterica. Its description in RNAcentral is "bacterial SSU rRNA". It matches the Rfam family "Bacterial small subunit ribosomal RNA", at positions 9 to 873 of the family's 1533-position model. Lineage: Bacteria; Pseudomonadati; Pseudomonadota; Gammaproteobacteria; Enterobacterales; Enterobacteriaceae. The record is from RNAcentral.